This 221-nucleotide long non-coding RNA is filed under the name Capsicum annuum. RNAcentral describes it as "long non-coding RNA (CANN_LNC003128)". Lineage: Eukaryota; Viridiplantae; Streptophyta; Magnoliopsida; Solanales; Solanaceae. The record is from RNAcentral.
UCAUCCUAGACCUGUUAUCAGCCACUACAUAAGGAGCAUACCUGGUUAGCUGAGUAAACUUAAGGGAAUACUCUUUCACACUCAUAUUGCCCUGCUUCAAAUUAAUAAACUCUAACACCUUAGCUUCUCUUAGCUCUAAAAGGAAGAAUCUAUCUAAGAAGGCUGUAGCAAACUCCUCCCACUUUAUAUGCUCUGCUUCCGUGCCUUAAUCCUCUCUCCAC